UUCUGUUUUUUUCCAGGCAAGAUAAUCUUCUGCAUCUUAUCUUUCAUGAGAUGGAGAGUUUAGUGGGUUUCGGCUUUUCUUCUUCUUGCUUGCAAUUAAAAAUUGACCCUUUUAUAACUCUAUCAACAAUGUUUUUCAUUGUUGUAAGGUCACAGGUCUGAUCCCAAUAUAAAAACUUCAGGUUUGUAUUUCUUUCUUUUCGUAUCGGUAUUAUCUGAGAUCUGAACUUACAAUGGUUUAUUGCUCGGCAUAUCUCGCUAUAUGUUAUAAAAGCUUUGUUUUGGUUUACUGAAUUAAGCGCCCAUGGAGAGAAAGGAGGAUAGUUGCUAAUUUUGUCAUCUAUCCUUUUUCUAUGUUCAUUUAAUAAAGGAAAGGAGCUUCCUUCAUUUACAUUAUAAGGUGUUUUCCCUAAUUUUUUGUAUUUCUUAAAAAAGUUGAAAUGUGAAUUGAGGCUUUGUAUGGCCCAGGAAUUAAAGUAAGGAUCAUAACAAUGUUAAAACUUAAAUACAGUUAAUUUGUUUAAUUAAAUUAUUAUUAUUUUUUGAAGGAUGGGCUUUAUCAAGGUAGACAGUUUAUCUAAAAUCUCUGUGGAAGUGUGGAAUUAUUAUUUUAUUUUUUUGAAGAAAUGGACAGUUAAUUUGUUGUUUGUACAAGUUUAAAUGCGCUGCAAAAUUUACUAUAAUGCAUGCGAGUUCUAAAAAAAUCAAUAUGAUUUUUUGCAGGAUGGAAGAUUAGGGAAAAGAAGGUGUGGACAGAGGAUGAUGCAGACUAGACAUUAUUCCAUCCUCGGCAAAAGAAGUCGUUUUAUCAAAGCAAGAGGAUAGAUCUGAUGAACGGCUGAUCCCGAAUCUUCACUUGCUGGAAGUAAGGGUAUUGUAGGCUUUAGGUGUGUAGUUUAGUCGCACAUAGCUUAGAUAUAAAGUCUAUGUGGUUUCUCUCUACAUAAAUAAAGAGUUAGCUUCUUUGUAAGUUUAACCUCAAUACCCUUACUUCCAACAUCACUGUACAAAGCGAAGUUUCAGCUCAUAGAAUUUGGGUACUUCAGAAUCAUCAGACUGGAUAUUUAAAUGCCUGAUAUUGUCAGACUAAAGAAGUAGUAACCCCAGAAGAUGAGAUUAGGUUUGAUGUGGUGUUUAUG
RNAcentral lists this long non-coding RNA (1138 nucleotides) under Aquilegia coerulea. RNAcentral's name for it is "long non-coding RNA (ACOE_LNC001742)". The record is from RNAcentral. Lineage: Eukaryota; Viridiplantae; Streptophyta; Magnoliopsida; Ranunculales; Ranunculaceae.